AGGACUAGGGGGAGUCACAUCCUACCAAAUCCUGAUGAACUCCGAAUGCUAUUCAGACAUACUCUGCAGUGAGGGUUUGGGUGCUAAGGUCCAAAUCCGAGAGGGAAAGAACCCAGAUCUACUGCUAAGGUCCCAAAAUGUAUACUAAGUUGAACUAAGGAGGUUCAGUUGCAUAGACAGCCAGGAUGUUGGCUUGGAAGCAGCCAUUCAUUCAAAGAGUGCGUAACAGCUCACUGGUCGAGCGACAGGGCAUCGAUAAUAAACGGGCAUUAAGUAUAGUACCGAAGCUACGGACCCGCAAGGGUGGUAGGAGAGCAUUCCUAUGGCGGUGAAGGUGAUCUGUGAGGAUUGCUGGAGCGAUGGGAAAAGAAAAUGUAGGCAUAAGUAACGAUAAGGCGGGUGAGAAACCCGCCCACCGAAAGACUAAGGUUUCCUGAUCAACGCUAAUCGGAUCAGGGUUAGUCGAGACCUAAGGUGUAGCCGAAAGGCGAAGCCGAUGGCAAACCGGUUAAAUAUUCCGGUACCGAUUGUAGCGCCAGGCUAAGGCGUGACGCAGAAGUGACACUCCCGCGUGCUGACGAAUGCACGUUAAAGGGCGUAGGCCGGGGGGCAGGCAAAUCCGCCUCCCGUUAAGGCUGAACCCCGACAGUACCCAGAGGCUACGGCCAACGGGAUAGUGGAGGUAAUCCAGCUGCCGAGAAAAGCGUCGUAGUUUGUUACAAUCGCUCGUACCCCAAACCGACACAGGUGGGUGAGGAGAGUAUCCUAAGGUGCUCGAGUAAUUCAUGGCUAAGGAACUAGGCAAAUUCGAUCCGUA
Molecule: ribosomal RNA, 817 nt
Filed under: uncultured Symbiodinium
Lineage: Eukaryota; Dinophyceae; Suessiales; Symbiodiniaceae
Description: partial Bacterial large subunit ribosomal RNA
Rfam family: Bacterial large subunit ribosomal RNA
Source: RNAcentral